This 30-nucleotide non-coding RNA is filed under the name Homo sapiens (human). The record is from RNAcentral. Lineage: Eukaryota; Metazoa; Chordata; Mammalia; Primates; Hominidae.
UGUAUACGGUACUAAAUCUGCAUAGCAGGG